This is a long non-coding RNA of Trachemys scripta elegans, 1669 nucleotides long. RefSeq lists it as uncharacterized. Lineage: Eukaryota; Metazoa; Chordata; Testudines; Emydidae. The transcript has 3 exons. The record is from RefSeq and is a predicted model, not a curated record.
CCGGCCCUCCAUACAAUUUCAGAAACCCGAUGUGGCCCUCAGGCCAAAAAGUUUGCCCGCCCCUGGGCUAGAUUAAGAUAUUCCUAAAUCACUGCUUUCAUCUGGGAGUCCAAGAGCACCAAUGGAUCAAGAAAGCCCAAAACUGAGUUACUCUUACUAGCACCUAGGCCCACCGGAGAGGUUUUUUAAGGAACUUGAAGAAAAGGGCCUCCAAGGAGCAGUCUUGGAAUUGGGUAAGAUAGUAGCCUAGGAGAAGGGUCCUUGGAACUCCCUACACCUCUAGAGGGAAAAGGGUUGGGGAAACAGCCGAAGAGGCUGGAGUUCACAUUCUGCAUUGAAUAACCUAAGAUGACCUCAGGAGAGAAGAAACACUUCUGCCCAGACAGAGAGAUGGAGCUGCCCAGCUAAGAGGUGCAACCGCUGAUGGAAUAGAGUGUCCAGUUCUGGUGUCCACAAUUCAAGAAGGAUGUUGAUAAACUUGGAGACAGUUCAGAGAAGAGCCACAAGAAUGAUUCAGGGGUUCUCAAACUUUUUUUGCUGGGACUCCCUUUGAAAAUAUUUCAGGCUGUGACAACCACCCUCAAAAAGUGACAACGCUCCCCAUAUCACGCCAUUCUUACUUUUGCACUGUUGCUGGUAGCGGCGCUACCUUCAGAGCUGGGCACCUGGCCAGUAGUCGCCGUUCUUCUGAUUCCCCUAUAAUAGUCUUGACCCCCACCCCUUUUGAGUUGGGACCCCACAGUUUAAGAAACAUUGGAUUAAAGGAUUAGAAAACAUGCCUUAAAGUGUCAGAUUCAAGAAGCUCAAUCUAUUUAUCUUAACAAAGAGAAGGAUAAGUGGUGGUGAUUGGUCCAUAAGUACCUAUAAGGAGAACAAAUAUUUGACAAUGGGCUCUUCAGUAUUGCAGAGAAAGGUGUAACACGAUCCAAUGGCUGGAAAUUGAAGCUAGAUAGAUAAAGACCCGGUCUACAGUACAAAAUUAAGUCGAUCUAACUUACGUCAGCAAUACAGCUGCCACAAUAAUCACAUUGCUUGGGCAUGUCUAUGCUUUGCUCUUUGUGUCAACAGUGCACUUCCUUACCAAGAGCGCUUGUAUCAAUUGUCCUGUCUGUGCGGGACAUUGUGGGACAGCUCCUGAAAGCCAGUAACAGUCGACGUAAGCAAUACAGUCUCUACACUGACACUGCAUUGACCUAAUUACAUUGACUGUGUCUCUACACCUUUCAGAGAGGUGGUAUUAUGAAGUUGGCAUAAAGAGGCAUGUACAUUGGCGGGACCCAAAUUUAAGCGAAGACAUUUCCAAAGUUAGGUUGACAUAAGAUGCCUUGUGUUGACUUAACUCUAUUGUGUAGACCAAGCCUAAAUCAGCGUAACUAUGUUGCUCAGGGCUGUGAAGAAUUCACUCCUCUGAGUGGCACAGCUAAGAUGACCUGACCCCUAGGUCAACUGAAGAAUUCUUCUGUUGACCUCACUACCUCCUGUUGGGGAGGUGAAUUACCUAUGUCGACAGAAGAACCUUUCCCAUCAGUGUAGGUAGUGUCCACACUGAAGUACUACAGUGGUACAUCUGCAGCAGUAGAGCAUUUCAAGUAUAGAUAAGCCCUUACACUGGAAAUAAGGCACACAUUUUUAAGUGAGGGUAAUUAACCACUGGAACAGUUUUCCAAAG